CCGUUGCGUACGUAAGUGUUGAAAUUUAAAACGCGCACGAUGCCGAAAGUUUCCCCAAAAAAACGGUCAAAAUCGAAAAGAGGCCUCGCAGGCCAAUUAAAAGUGAUUAAAAAUAUGCUAUCACGCUUAGAGAGGAAAAUAAAUUCGGAAGAAGAAUCUGAUUCAUCAUUAUCGGAUGUAUCAUCUAUACAAUCAGAAAAACCUUCUUCAUAUUCCAGUCAAUCUGAAGAAAUGGAGGAAGGGGAAAACAGUCCAUCAGCACCUAAUGAGAUAGGUGCUAAUAAUAUUCAGGUGCCUGCUGUGCCGAUAGCAGCAGAAGAUUCCCUAUCUGUUAUUCAUUUAUUAAAAGAACAUCCUAAUACUGAAAGUAUCUUAGGCCCUG
This 382-nucleotide unclassified non-coding RNA is filed under the name Anthonomus grandis grandis. Its description in RNAcentral is "uncharacterized LOC126747394". Lineage: Eukaryota; Metazoa; Arthropoda; Insecta; Coleoptera; Curculionidae. The record is from RNAcentral.